UUAAGUUAUUAAGGGCGCACGGUGGAUGCCUUGGCACUAGAAGCCGAUGAAGGACGUUACUAACGACGAUAUGCUUUGGGGAGCUGUAAGUAAGCUUUGAUCCAGAGAUUUCCGAAUGGGGAAACCCAGCAUGAGUUAUGUCAUGUUAUCGAUAUGUGAAUACAUAGCAUAUCAGAAGGCACACCCGGAGAACUGAAACAUCUUAGUACCCGGAGGAAGAGAAAGAAAAUUCGAUUCCCUUAGUAGCGGCGAGCGAAACGGGAAGAGCCCAAACCAACAAGCUUGCUUGUUGGGGUUGUAGGACACUCUAUACGGAGUUACAAAGGACGACAUUAGACGAAUCAUCUGGAAAGAUGAAUCAAAGAAGGUAAUAAUCCUGUAGUCGAAAAUGUUGUCUCUCUUGAGUGGAUCCUGAGUACGACGGAGCACGUGAAAUUCCGUCGGAAUCUGGGAGGACCAUCUCCUAAGGCUAAAUACUCUCUAGUGACCGAUAGUGAACCAGUACCGUGAGGGAAAGGUGAAAAGCACCCCGGAAGGGGAGUGAAAUAGAACCUGAAACCGUGUGCUUACAAGUAGUCAGAGCCCGUUAAUGGGUGAUGGCGUGCCUUUUGUAGAAUGAACCGGCGAGUUACGAUUUGAUGCAAGGUUAAGCAGUAAAUGUGGAGCCGUAGCGAAAGCGAGUCUGAAUAGGGCGUUUAGUAUUUGGUCGUAGACCCGAAACCAGGUGAUCUACCCUUGGUCAGGUUGAAGUUCAGGUAACACUGAAUGGAGGACCGAACCGACUUACGUUGAAAAGUGAGCGGAUGAACUGAGGGUAGCGGAGAAAUUCCAAUCGAACCUGGAGAUAGCUGGUUCUCUCCGAAAUAGCUUUAGGGCUAGCCUCAAGUGAUGAUUAUUGGAGGUAGAGCACUGUUUGGACGAGGGGCCCCUCUCGGGUUACCGAAUUCAGACAAACUCCGAAUGCCAAUUAAUUUAACUUGGGAGUCAGAACAUGGGUGAUAAGGUCCGUGUUCGAAAGGGAAACAGCCCAGACCACCAGCUAAGGUCCCAAAAUAUAUGUUAAGUGGAAAAGGAUGUGGCGUUGCCCAGACAACUAGGAUGUUGGCUUAGAAGCAGCCAUCAUUUAAAGAGUGCGUAAUAGCUCACUAGUCGAGUGACACUGCGCCGAAAAUGUACCGGGGCUAAACAUAUUACCGAAGCUGUGGAUUGUCCUUUGGACAAUGGUAGGAGAGCGUUCUAAGGGCGUUGAAGCAUGAUCGUAAGGACAUGUGGAGCGCUUAGAAGUGAGAAUGCCGGUGUGAGUAGCGAAAGACGGGUGAGAAUCCCGUCCACCGAUUGACUAAGGUUUCCAGAGGAAGGCUCGUCCGCUCUGGGUUAGUCGGGUCCUAAGCUGAGGCCGACAGGCGUAGGCGAUGGAUAACAGGUUGAUAUUCCUGUACCACCUAUAAUCGUUUUAAUCGAUGGGGGGACGCAGUAGGAUAGGCGAAGCGUGCGAUUGGAUUGCACGUCUAAGCAGUAAGGCUGAGUAUUAGGCAAAUCCGGUACUCGUUAAGGCUGAGCUGUGAUGGGGAGAAGACAUUGAGUCUUCGAGUCGUUGAUUUCACACUGCCGAGAAAAGCCUCUAGAUAGAAAAUAGGUGCCCGUACCGCAAACCGACACAGGUAGUCAAGAUGAGAAUUCUAAGGUGAGCGAGCGAACUCUCGUUAAGGAACUCGGCAAAAUGACCCCGUAACUUCGGGAGAAGGGGUGCUCUUUAGGGUUAACGCCCAGAAGAGCCGCAGUGAAUAGGCCCAAGCGACUGUUUAUCAAAAACACAGGUCUCUGCUAAACCGUAAGGUGAUGUAUAGGGGCUGACGCCUGCCCGGUGCUGGAAGGUUAAGAGGAGUGGUUAGCUUCUGCGAAGCUACGAAUCGAAGCCCCAGUAAACGGCGGCCGUAACUAUAACGGUCCUAAGGUAGCGAAAUUCCUUGUC
Molecule: ribosomal RNA, 1972 nt
Filed under: metagenome
Description: bacterial LSU rRNA
Rfam family: Bacterial large subunit ribosomal RNA
Source: RNAcentral